UAGGGAAUCUUCCGCAAUGGGCGAAAGCUUGACGGAGCAACGCCGCGUGAGUGAUGAAGGUCUUCGGAUCGUAAAACUCUGUUAUUAGGGAAGAACAAAUGUGUAAGUAACUAUGCACGUCUUGACGGUACCUAAUCAGAAAGCCACAGCUAACUACGUGCCAGCAGCCGCGGUAAUACGUAGGUGGCAAGCGUUAUCCGGAAUUAUUGGGCGUAAAGCGCGCGUAGGCGGUUUUUUAAGUCUGAUGUGAAAGCCCACGGCUCAACCGUGGAGGGUCAUUGGAAACUGGAAAACUUGAGUGCAGAAGAGGAAAGUGGAAUUCCAUGUGUAGCGGUGAAAUGCGCAGAGAUAUGGAGGAACACCAGUGGCGAAGGCGACUUUCUGGUCUGUAACUGACGCUGAUGUGCGAAAGCGUGGGGAUCAAACAGG
This 429-nucleotide ribosomal RNA is filed under the name Actinomycetes bacterium. Its description in RNAcentral is "Actinobacteria bacterium partial 16S ribosomal RNA". It matches the Rfam family "Bacterial small subunit ribosomal RNA", at positions 355 to 776 of the family's 1533-position model. The record is from RNAcentral. Lineage: Bacteria; Bacillati; Actinomycetota; Actinomycetes.